GGCUCAGAGUGAACGCUGGCGGCGUGCUUAACACAUGCAAGUCGAACGAGAACAUGCAGUAGCAAUACUGUGAUGCUAAGUGGCGCACGGGUGAGUAAUGUAUAGGUAACAUGCCCUUAAGAGGGGGAUAACAGAGGGAAACCUCUGCUAAUACCCCAUAACCCUUCUUAUCAUAAGAUAAGUUGGCAAAGUUUUUUCGCUUAAGGAUUGGCCUGUAUAGUAUCAGCUUGUUGGUGAGGUAAUGGCUCACCAAGGCUAUGACGCUUAACUGGUCUGAGAGGAUGAUCAGUCACACUGGAACUGAGACACGGUCCAGACUCCUACGGGAGGCAGCAGUGGGGAAUAUUGCACAAUGGGGGAAACCCUGAUGCAGCAACGCCGCGUGGAGGAUGACACUUUUCGGAGCGUAAACUCCUUUUCUGUUAGAAGAUAAUGACGGUAUAACAGGAAUAAGCACCGGCUAACUCCGUGCCAGCAGCCGCGGUAAUACGGAGGGUGCAAGCGUUACUCGGAAUCACUGGGCGUAAAGAGCGUGUAGGCUGUUUAGCAAGUCAGAAGUGAAAUCCUAUAGCUCAACUAUAGAACUGCUUUUGAAACUGCUUAACUAGAGUGUGGG
RNAcentral lists this ribosomal RNA (616 nucleotides) under uncultured Campylobacterota bacterium. Its description in RNAcentral is "bacterial SSU rRNA". It matches the Rfam family "Bacterial small subunit ribosomal RNA", at positions 21 to 652 of the family's 1533-position model. The record is from RNAcentral. Lineage: Bacteria; Pseudomonadati; Campylobacterota.